Molecule: ribosomal RNA, 460 nt
Filed under: uncultured marine microorganism
Description: bacterial SSU rRNA
Rfam family: Bacterial small subunit ribosomal RNA
Source: RNAcentral
UGGGGAAUUUUCCGCAAUGGGCGAAAGCCUGACGGAGCAAUACCGCGUGAGGGAGGAAUGCCUUUGGGUUGUAAACCUCUUUUCUCAGGGAAGAAGAUCUGACGGUACCUGAGGAAUAAGUAUCGGCUAACUCCGUGCCAGCAGCCGCGGUAAUACGGAGGAUGCAAGCGUUAUCCGGAAUCAUUGGGCGUAAAGCGUCCGCAGGUGGUUUCCAAAGUCUGCUGUUAAAGACUGGAGCUCAACUCCAGAACGGCGGUGGAAACUUGGAAACUAGAGAUCGGUAGGGGUAGCAGGAAUUCCCAGUGUGGCGGUGAAAUGCGUAGAUAUUGGGAAGAACAUCGGUGGCGAAGGCGUGCUACUGGACCGUAACUGACACUCAGGGACGAAAGCCAGGGGAGCGAAAGGGAUUAGAUACCCCUGUAGUCCUAGCUGUAAACGAUGGAAACUAGGUGUGGCUUGA